GAUGAACGCUGGCGGUAUGCUUAACACAUGCAAGUCGAACGGACUCUUCGGAGUUAGUGGCGGACGGGUGAGUAACGCGUGAGAAUCUGGCUUUGGGUUCGGGACAACCACUGGAAACGGUGGCUAAUACCGGAUGUGCCGAGAGGUAAAAGAGAAAUUGCCUGAAGAUGAGCUCGCGUCUGAUUAGCUCGUUGGUGAGGUAAAGGCUCACCAAGGCAGCGAUCAGUAGCUGGUCUGAGAGGAUGACCAGCCACACUGGGACUGAGACACGGCCCAGACUCCUACGGGAGGCAGCAGUGGAGAAUUUUCCGCAAUGGGCGAAUGCCUGACGGAGCAAUACCGCGUGAGGGAAGAAGGCUCUUGGGUUGUAAACCUCUUUUCUUAGGGAAGAACAAAAUGACGGUACCUAAGGAAUCAGCAUUGGCUAACUCCGUG
RNAcentral lists this ribosomal RNA (435 nucleotides) under uncultured bacterium. RNAcentral's name for it is "partial 16S ribosomal RNA". It matches the Rfam family "Bacterial small subunit ribosomal RNA", at positions 28 to 507 of the family's 1533-position model. The record is from RNAcentral.